UGGGGAAUAUUGCACAAUGGGGGAAACCCUGAUGCAGCGACGCCGCGUGAGCGAUGAAGUAUUUCGGUAUGUAAAGCUCUAUCAGCAGGGAAGAAAAUGAC
Molecule: ribosomal RNA, 101 nt
Filed under: uncultured bacterium
Lineage: Bacteria
Description: 16S ribosomal RNA
Rfam family: Bacterial small subunit ribosomal RNA
Source: RNAcentral